UACGUAGGGUGCAAGCGUUAAUCGGAAUUACUGGGCGUAAAGCGUGCGCAGGCGGUUGUGCAAGACAGAUGUGAAAUCCCCGGGCUCAACCUGGGAACUGCAUUUGUGACUGCACGGCUGGAGUGCGGCAGAGGGGGAUGGAAUUCCGCGUGUAGUAGUGAAAUGCGUAGAUAUGCGGAGGAACACCGAUGGCGAAGGCAAUCCCCUGGGCCUGCACUGACGCUCAUGCACGAAAGCGUGGGGAGCAAACAGG
Molecule: ribosomal RNA, 253 nt
Filed under: uncultured bacterium
Lineage: Bacteria
Description: partial 16S ribosomal RNA
Rfam family: Bacterial small subunit ribosomal RNA
Source: RNAcentral